Potamilus streckersoni is the source of this 75-nucleotide non-coding RNA. The record is from the annotation of a GenBank genome assembly. Lineage: Eukaryota; Metazoa; Mollusca; Bivalvia; Unionida; Unionidae.
CGCUCAGGUGGCCUAGUGGUUGAUGCGUCCGCCUCUGAUGCGGGAGGUCGUGAGUUCGAUCCAUCAGGCGAUUGA